CAGCAGCCGCGGUAAUACGAAGGGGGCUAGCGUUGUUCGGAUUUACUGGGCGUAAAGGGCGCGUAGGCGGACUGAUAAGUCAGGGGUGAAAUCCCAAGGCUCAACCUCGGAACUGCCUUUGAUACUGUUCAUCUUGAGUAUGGGAGAGGUGUGUGGAACUCCGAGUGUAGAGGUGAAAUUCGUAGAUAUUCGGAAGAACACCAGUGGCGAAGGCGACACACUGGCCCAUUACUGACGCUGAGGCUCGAAAGCGUGGGGAGCAAACAGGAUUAGAUACCCCCGUAGUCCCUGUCUCUUAUAC
RNAcentral lists this ribosomal RNA (301 nucleotides) under uncultured bacterium. RNAcentral describes it as "partial 16S ribosomal RNA". It matches the Rfam family "Bacterial small subunit ribosomal RNA", at positions 509 to 807 of the family's 1533-position model. The record is from RNAcentral.